GCUAUGCCGUCAAUACAAUCUGCCUCGUGGGUUUUCCAUGGUCUUCUAGAUCAACCUCAGCAAGAAAAUUAUCACUUUUAGCUGUGCUACUUUCUCUCAUGGUGUGUUUUUUGGUUACAUUAACAUUGGGACUGGUGUUACAGCUGAGAGAAGAGAAACUUCCAUAGAGGAUCAGGCAUUAAGCAUCAACUUGUUAUAUCACCUUAUGCUGGGCAUUGCUUUACGAGCUGUUUUAGAUGCUUUGAGGAAGCCUGAAGAUUCAAAAGUUUGUUCCUUCCUAGGUUAUCAGUUAAUGUUAUUAUUGAGAAUUUCAGUCUGACCAUGGCUUUAUGACAUUCAUAUGUUUUUCUUUGGGACUGAGGCAUUGGAGCAGUUUGUGGACCGUGUCAUUGGGUGGUCACAGUACUGCAAUCUUAUCCUGCACUUUGUAGCAUUUAUAGAGAGGGCACUUAAUAAGAUUUCAGCUGCUCAUACUGAACCUGAUUUAGAGGGAACCUUUAGCUGCAAUCUUUCUAUUCCCUCAUGGAGAGUUUGUAUCUGGCUGGUGCACGUCUGACCCUCUAGUUUCUGAAGAGGAUGCACCAUUAGACUAUUGUACCUCGAUCCUCUUAUGCUCAUCAGAGAACUUCGUUGUUGAAUAAAGUGAUUGCAAACCUUCAUUGCUUUAUUCCUGAUGUAUGCCUGGAUGGGAAGGAUCUGUCAACAAAUUCAUUCGGUUCAUAUAGAAGGACUAUCAGAAACUGUCAGAUGGAUUCUUUUCUCUACUUCAGAGCUGACAGAGUAUCCACAAUUAGCAAGAACUUAUGACUAGCUUCCUUUAUUGGACUCUAAGCCCAGAUGAAAAAAAGAGUAGCCCAACGCUACAUUUUUUCUGGAAUAAGCGUCCUAAAAAGGAGUUUUAAUGCAUAAAAGGAAGGUACGAAGGAGUUGUGUGGCAAUGGAGGCGUUCUUAUUCUGGUCAGGCCGUCAUGAACUUAAAGUUAUCUGGCUCAAACAAUAUUUCCUCAUACAUGGAUGCUAUCUCCCACCUAAAAUCUAAAGCUUUAUCUAUUCUGAAAGUGUAUCCUACCUGGAUGAGGUGGCCAGCAACACAGCAACUCAGGAUAUAGCAAAGUUUGUUGGACUCGAGGUUCUUGCAUUGCUAAAAAAAAUGUUUAAUGCUCCCUCCGCAGCAAGCUACCCGAAGGGGCAACUGGAACUUAAUGCAAUGCGCUUGGCAGAUGUCUUCUCAGAUGAUUCAAAUUUUCGGUCAUUCAUCAUGAUAAACUUUGGAACCCUUAGCUCCAAUCUUUCUAUUCCCUCAUGGAGAGUUUGUAUCUGGCUGGUGCUCGUCUGACCUUCUAGUUUCUGAAGAGGAUGCACCAUUAGACUAUGUAUUAUAUACAUCACCUCGAUAAUUCUUAUUUCGCCAAAUCAGUUAGUUACAACUAUUGCAUUAAACACCCUAAGUCAUCAUCAAUGUAUAUAGACACAUUUUAUUUGAAUUAACCCCUUGCAGUGUACCUCGUUCCUCUUAUGCUCAUCAAAGAACGUCUUUGUUGAUUAAAGUGAUUGCAAACCUUCAUUGCUUUGUUCGUGAUGUAUGCCACGAUGAGAAGGAUCUGUCAACAAGUUCAUUCGGUUCAUACAGAAGGACUAUCAGAAACUGUCAGAUGGAUUCUUUUCUCUACUUCAGAGCUGACAGAGUAUCCACAAUUAGCAAGAACUUAUUGUCAGGAUUUUUGAAUGAAGAUGAUGUACAACUGUUGAGAUAAUAAGAAUGUAUGCCCUCCUUUCAUGCUGAACUCGGGCAUUAAUUAUUUGUUCAUGUCCUAUCGUUCUUGGUUUGCAAUUUAGGAGCUUGGGAAGGAGUGGACAGAACAACUAGCUUCCUAUAUUGGACUCUCAAACCAAAUGAAAUGCUUGUAUUUGGUGUAUAGUGUGUGGAUCUGUUUAUAGUGUUUGUAGUGUUUGUAGUAUAUGUAUAAUGUGUGUAGUGCAUGUGUUUUCUUAGCAUGCAGUGUGUGUUGUGUUUUUGCAUUUGAAGUUCAUGUAUUUCGUGUGUGUGUGUGUGUGUGUGUGUGUAUUUUGUGGAUACUAUGUGCCGUCUAUAUGCAGUGAAAUUUUUAUUUCUUGUAGUG
Molecule: long non-coding RNA, 2120 nt
Organism: Salvia splendens (bonfire salvia)
Lineage: Eukaryota; Viridiplantae; Streptophyta; Magnoliopsida; Lamiales; Lamiaceae
Exons: 13
Source: RefSeq, a predicted model, not a curated record